This is a long non-coding RNA of Carassius auratus (goldfish), 1291 nucleotides long. The record is from Ensembl. NCBI's taxonomy places the organism in Eukaryota, Metazoa, Chordata, Actinopteri, Cypriniformes, Cyprinidae.
ACUACUGUUGAUGUCCAGAAUGUCCCCUAAAAAAAGGAGCUGAGUGGUUUGAAAAUAAACAUCUUCAAAAAAACAAAACAAACAUACAAUACAUAUGUAUGAUAGUGAUUUUAUUAAGUAUAAAAGUCAUAUCAAAUGAGAUUAGGAGACUCUUUCUCUUUUUUUUUUAUUUCCCUUGCUUUCAUUUCACGUGAAGUCCACACCCCAAAAGUGAAUCGGCUCUGACGUCAGACGUCUCACUCUGCUCAACACAACAGUUGAAUCGACGGCAGUUUCCUGUCUUACAGACAUCAUCCUGAGAGAUAAAAGGCACACCAUGUAUGCAGUUGUUACUCUGCAAGACUCAGAUGAGGUGGUGGUGGCACCAACAAACUGGCUGAGCCUAGACAAGAAACAAUGUUACUGGCCCCCAUUCAAAUCACCAGACAAGUGCAUGGAAGCUGUUCAGAACAGAAUUAAAACUGAAACAGGAGGGAAACCAUGGGAGAAACUGAACAUUAGCUUUCACAGAGAACAUGACACUUUUGAGAAGGCAAAAGAGGGGCAAAAAGAAACCAAAGAACAGAAAGAACGGUCAUAUCUAUUAGCCACUGGAUUCCCUGGAAUACUAAAAAGACAAAGACUUGAAAGCACUCAAGGAAUGUCAAAUAAUUAUCUACAACCACUUCCUGCAGUAACACCUGCAUCGACAUCCAGAAUGACAGCUGAUGAGAAGGAUGAGCUCCUCCAAAUGCUGAGAGACAUCAAGAGCACGGUUCAGGAAAACCGUGCUAUGUUAAAGAAACUACUAAAAGACAAUACAGUUUCUGAAGCCCCCAGCAGUACAAGCGUGCCUUCAAAAGCUAUUAAAGCAAACCUAAAACUGCCUCUUGGAACCUUUGAAGAUUUGGCCAUGAGUGAAAAAGAGCUCAGCACCGCAACAACACGGAAAAAAUAUGUCAAAUUUUUGUCAGGACUUGGAGGUUUUGGCCCCAAGGAUGUGAUUAAGAAUAUUAUGCAGCAAGUUAUAACAGAUGAUCUGGCUAAGGAGUUCAACUGGCAGGGGAGAGGAGAAAAAAGACCCUUCUCUCAUCUUAUUUUAACAGAUGUGAUCCGAGAUGCUGCAUUCAAACGAAGUGUAAACAGGGCUGAGUGUGAAAAUGAAAUAAAAAAAUAUUUGAGUUACACAGCUGACAGACUCGGUCGGAAGCGACUAAGAGAACAAGGAGGUCCUGGGCUUGAGAAUCCAAAUGAGAUUUCCCCCUCACUGAUGCCAGAGACAGACAUACCUUGGGACAUUUUGGGAUUUUGA